CUGAUGUGUCUUUUAACUACACUGUCAAUAUCACCAGCAUUGAACCAGAAGCUGGCAGUGAAUCAGGUGGAACUGAAGUGACGCUUACUGGCCAUGGGUUUAGUGACAUUCCAGAGGAGAAUUAUGUUUAUUUUGGAAAUAUGCAGUGUGUCGUCACUACUUCAACUUUUAACAUUAUCAAUUGUACAUUGGAAGUGCAGGAUGAGCCUCGGCACAGACGAUCCUCUAACAAAGUGACAGCCACCAUUUGGGUCCGUCAACAACAAUCGUCUAUGGUGGAUAAUUAUACGCUAGAUCCAGCCCUGACUCCAACAAUACAAACUAUGUCGUCAAAUUGCA
Anneissia japonica is the source of this 339-nucleotide long non-coding RNA. RefSeq lists it as uncharacterized. Lineage: Eukaryota; Metazoa; Echinodermata; Crinoidea; Comatulida; Comatulidae. The transcript has 3 exons. The record is from RefSeq and is a predicted model, not a curated record.